RNAcentral lists this ribosomal RNA (699 nucleotides) under uncultured Glomerales. RNAcentral describes it as "LSU rRNA". It matches the Rfam family "Eukaryotic large subunit ribosomal RNA", at positions 38 to 633 of the family's 3401-position model. The record is from RNAcentral. Lineage: Eukaryota; Fungi; Glomeromycota; Glomeromycetes; Glomerales; Glomeraceae.
GCAUAUCAAUAAGCGGAGGAAAAGAAACUAACAAGGAUUCCCCUAGUAACGGCGAGUGAAGAGGGAAGAGCUCAAAUUUUAAAUCUAUCAUGUUGUACAUGAUCGAGUUGUAAUUUGAAGAAGCGUUUUCUCGUACUUUAUGAUCAGUAUAAGUUCUCUUGGAACAGGACAUCAUAGAGGGUGAUAAUCCCGUCUGUUACUGAUUGUGAGGUUCGUUUAUGAUACGCUUUCAAAGAGUCGAGUUGUUUGGGAUUGCAGCUCCAAAUGGGUGGUAAACAUCACCUAAGGCUAAAUAUUUGCGAGAGACCGAUAGCGAACAAGUACCGUGAGGGAAAGAUGAAAAGAACUUUGAAAAGAGCGUUAAAAAGUAUGUGAAAUUGUUGAAAGGGAAACGAUUGAAGUCAGUCGUGCAGUCAUCAAUUCAGCGGUUAACAUUUUAUGUUUCCGUGUAAUUUGGUGUCUGUUGGUUAGCAUCAAUUUUGAUUGUUAUAAAAAGGUUAAGGGGAUGUGGCUCCUUCGGGAGUGUUAUAACCCUUAGCGUAAUGUGACGAUUAGGAUUGAGGUUUGCAACGAAUACCUUUUAGGACAGUUUCACCUGGCCUCUCGUGGAAUUAUAGAUAGUUAAGAGCAUGCUCUUACUGUCUAUGAUUCUACGAAAAGGUUGGAGUGUAAAACUAAUUCGUUAAGGAUGUUGACGUA